GCAAGUCGAGCGAGAAAGCUCCCUUCGGGGGGUUAGUAAAGCGGCGCACGGGUGAGUAACGCGUGGGUAAUCUACCCUGAGGUUCGGAACAACCAGAGGAAACUCUGGCUAAUUCCGGAUAAGACCACGUCACUGCGGUGAUGUGGGAAAAGCAGGGGACCUCUUCGGAGGCCUCGUGCCACAGGAUGAGCCCGCGUUCCAUCAGGCAGUUGGUGGGGUAACGGCCUACCAAACCUAAGACGGAUAGCUGGUCUGAGAGGAUGAUC
This 266-nucleotide ribosomal RNA is filed under the name uncultured bacterium. RNAcentral's name for it is "partial 16S ribosomal RNA". It matches the Rfam family "Bacterial small subunit ribosomal RNA", at positions 57 to 305 of the family's 1533-position model. The record is from RNAcentral.